Molecule: small nuclear RNA, 174 nt
Gene: U4
Rfam family: U4 spliceosomal RNA
About the family: U4 small nuclear RNA (U4 snRNA) is a component of the major U2-dependent spliceosome. The structure of U4 snRNA from yeast and human has been reported.
Source: Ensembl
AGCUUUGCACAGUGGCAGUAUCGUAGCCAAUGAGGUUUAUCCGAGGCGCGAUUAUUGCUAAUAGAAAAAUUAAAACUAAAAUGUUAGGGAGUUCAGAGAUUUAUUACUUCAGGCAAGGAUGUUACUGCUUAUUGGUUUAUUAUUGCCAGAUAAUAAAAGUAACUGCACAUUGCU